Molecule: ribosomal RNA, 602 nt
Filed under: uncultured bacterium
Lineage: Bacteria
Description: bacterial SSU rRNA
Rfam family: Bacterial small subunit ribosomal RNA (bases 1-534)
Source: RNAcentral
CCUACGGGAGGCAGCAGUAAGGAAUAUUGGACAAUGCUCGCAAGAGUGAUCCAGCCAUGCCGCGUGCAGGAAGAAUGCCCUAUGGGCAGUAAACUGCUUUUGAACUAGAGAAAACCCCAGUACGUGUACUGGGCUGAUAGUAUAGUUAGAAUAAGCAUCGGCUAACUUCGUGCCAGCAGCCGCGGUAAGACGAAGGAUGCAAGCGUUAUCCGGAUUCAUUGGGUUUAAAGGGAGCGUAGGUGGACUGAUAAGUCAGUGGUGAAAUCUCCGAGCUUAACUCGGAAAUUGCCAUUGAUACUGUUGGUCUUGAGUACAGUUGCUGUGGGCGGAAUAUGACAUGUAGUGGUGAAAUACAUAGAGAUGUCAUAGAACACCGAUUGCGAAGGCAGCUCACAAAGCUGUAACUGACACUGAGGCUCGAAAGUGCGGGGAUCAAACAGGAUUAGAUACCCUGGUAGUCCGCACCGUAAACGAUGAUUACUCGCUGCUAGGGGGCAACCUUUAGUGGCUUAGCGAAAGCGAUAAGAAUCCNCGNGGAGAGCGCGACGAGACGACGAAGAAGUUAGAGCGNGAGAGNGCGACGGCGACGACGAGGGAGGAGG